AGUGAACGCUGGCGGUAGGCCUAACACAUGCAAGUCGAACGGCAGCACAGUAAGAGCUUGCUCUUACGGGUGGCGAGUGGCGGACGGGUGAGGAAUACAUCGGAAUCUACUUUUUCGUGGGGGAUAACGUAGGGAAACUUACGCUAAUACCGCAUACGACCUACGGGUGAAAGCAUGGGAUCUUCGGACCUUGCGCGAUUGAAUGAGCCGAUGUCGGAUUAGCUAGUUGGCGGGGUAAAGGCCCACCAAGGCGACGAUCCGUAGCUGGUCUGAGAGGAUGAUCAGCCACACUGGAACUGAGACACGGUCCAGACUCCUACGGGAGGCAGCAGUGGGGAAUCUUGGACAAUGGGCGCAAGCCUGAUCCAGCCAUACCGCGUGGGUGAAGAAGGCCUUCGGGUUGUAAAGCCCUUUUGUUGGGAAAGAAAAGCAGCAGGUUAAUACCCCGCUGUUCUGACGGUACCCAAAGAAUAAGCACCGGCUAACUUCGUG
Molecule: ribosomal RNA, 492 nt
Filed under: uncultured bacterium
Lineage: Bacteria
Description: partial 16S ribosomal RNA
Rfam family: Bacterial small subunit ribosomal RNA
Source: RNAcentral